RNAcentral lists this long non-coding RNA (244 nucleotides) under Brassica napus (rape). RNAcentral describes it as "long non-coding RNA (BNAP_LNC011200)". Lineage: Eukaryota; Viridiplantae; Streptophyta; Magnoliopsida; Brassicales; Brassicaceae. The record is from RNAcentral.
GGUGAUCCUCAUGGUGUGAUCUUACACGAGGGAGAGAGGGAAAGUCGUGCCCCGCGUCGGGUUUUCGGAUUUAUGUUCGGGUCGGGUCUAUUUAAGUGGAGAACCAUUUAUGUUAGAGCAUCAGCAUCGACGUCCUUAUUGGACGUCCUUAGUGUUUUUGGGUUUAAAAAUAAAUCAAAAAGCCCAAAAUCAAAACAAACGGAUGUUAACUUAGAUCUGUUCGAUGGGCGUCCUUAGUGGCACG